Molecule: ribosomal RNA, 490 nt
Filed under: uncultured bacterium
Lineage: Bacteria
Description: partial 16S ribosomal RNA
Rfam family: Bacterial small subunit ribosomal RNA
Source: RNAcentral
AUUGAACGCUGGCGGCAGGCCUAACACAUGCAAGUCGAACGGUAACAGAAAGCAGCUUGCUGCUUUGCUGACGAGUGGCGGACGGGUGAGUAAUGUCUGGGAAACUGCCUGAUGGAGGGGGAUAACUACUGGAAACGGUAGCUAAUACCGCAUAACGUCGCAAGACCAAAGAGGGGGACCUUCGGGCCUCUUGCCAUCGGAUGUGCCCAGAUGGGAUUAGCUUGUUGGUGGGGUAACGGCUCACCAAGGCGACGAUCCCUAGCUGGUCUGAGAGGAUGACCAGCCACACUGGAACUGAGACACGGCCCAGACUCCUGCGGGAGGCAGCAGUGGGGAAUAUUGCACAAUGGGCGCAAGCCUGAUGCAGCCAUGCCGCGUGUAUGAAAAAGGCCUUCGGGUUGUAAAGUACUUUCAGCGGGGAGGAAGGGAGUAAAGUUAAUACCUUUGCUCAUUGACGUUACCCGCAGAAGAAGCACCGGCUAACUCCGUG